Molecule: long non-coding RNA, 887 nt
Filed under: Nicotiana tabacum (common tobacco)
Lineage: Eukaryota; Viridiplantae; Streptophyta; Magnoliopsida; Solanales; Solanaceae
Description: long non-coding RNA (NTAB_LNC006483)
Source: RNAcentral
UCAAAUUACUUAAAAUGUUACUCACUUUUAACACAAUUUAUACACCUUACUAUCAUGGUCAUGUGGUACCUUGUAUGGUACUAGUUCAUAAAUAUCGGGUAUUAUAGCUCGGAUCAUAUUUUAUCCCAAAUUGUCAAAUUUCGACGAAAUUCAUUUUCUUCGAUUUGCUUACCCGUUCACCUUCACAAAUUUACUCAUCACUUGUUCGAAAUAGCAUAAUGCUUAUAAAUUUCAAAAUAAUCUCAUUCCCGAACUUAUGUCGAUUAACUUACGACGAAACUUUAACAUACGAAAAUACGGGAUGUAACACAUUUUAUCAAUAUAUAGCCACCAUCUCUGUCCAAACAUCUUAUUUUAUUUGAUUUCAACCACCUGAAUCACCAUGUCCGUCGAGACUUCCUUCCCACCAAGCCCAUUGACACAGACAAAACAGAUCAGAAAUGACAUUUCACCCCUGCCGCUAUUUUUUUUUCUGAAAAAAGAAGAAGAAAAAAAGAUGAGCAUUGACCAAAUCGGAAAGCUUAUAAAGUGACUUUAACCAUAAACCACAAUCACCCCUUCGUUGACAAAAAAAAUACUCCAAAAAGAAAUACUCCAAACAUUUAAAUGUGAAGAAGAGAACCUUUUUUCCGCCAGAACUUCGUCCAAAAUCAUCCAUCACCAUCGAACCAGAUCGGAGAAAAUAUUGUGGGUUACCUUCUUCUCGCUAAAACUUUAUACUCAAUUAAUUUUUAAAAAGGCUCUUAUUUCAACUAAUUAAAGGUUAAUAAAGAAAAGAAUGAAGAAGCUUGGGAAGGAAAGGUUGGGGCGAGGGAUGGGAUAAGAAACGAAAAGAAUGGGGAAAGGGGUGGGAACAAAGGAGGUGGGAGUAAGUGUUGGGAUCUUAA